Molecule: ribosomal RNA, 464 nt
Filed under: Vreelandella stevensii
Lineage: Bacteria; Pseudomonadati; Pseudomonadota; Gammaproteobacteria; Oceanospirillales; Halomonadaceae
Description: partial 16S ribosomal RNA
Rfam family: Bacterial small subunit ribosomal RNA
Source: RNAcentral
CCUACGGGGGGCAGCAGUGGGGAAUAUUGGACAAUGGGGGCAACCCUGAUCCAGCCAUGCCGCGUGUGUGAAGAAGGCCCUCGGGUUGUAAAGCACUUUCAGUGAGGAAGAACGCCUGGUGGUUAAUACCCAUCAGGAAAGACAUCACUCACAGAAGAAGCACCGGCUAACUCCGUGCCAGCAGCCGCGGUAAUACGGAGGGUGCGAGCGUUAAUCGGAAUUACUGGGCGUAAAGCGCGCGUAGGUGGCUUGAUAGCCGGUUGUGAAAGCCCCGGGCUCAACCUGGGAACGGCAUCCGGAACUGUCAAGCUAGAGUGCAGGAGAGGAAGGUAGAAUUCCCGGUGUAGCGGUGAAAUGCGUAGAGAUCGGGAGGAAUACCAGUGGCGAAGGCGGCCUUCUGGACUGACACUGACACUGAGGUGCGAAAGCGUGGGUAGCAAACAGGAUUAGAUACCCUGGUAGUC